This is a long non-coding RNA of Pocillopora damicornis (cauliflower coral), 194 nucleotides long. The record is from RefSeq and is a predicted model, not a curated record. Lineage: Eukaryota; Metazoa; Cnidaria; Anthozoa; Scleractinia; Pocilloporidae.
UUGCCCUCAGAAAUGUGAACACGAUCUUUCAACAUCCAUCAAGUCGUCAAGAAUCUGGAAGUUACAAAAGAUAUUUCACAUCAGCACAGUUAAAUUUUAGAACAAACUGAUGACCCACAGGCGCAAACAGUUCAUUACCUUACACCAGAAGCAGACCCACUGUCCACUAACACUCUUGGAGCCAUAUUGAAAUU